GGAGUUAGGAAAUGUAAGUGCGCUAAUAUCGCAUUUAUUUGACAAAGGCUCCAAAGGAAGCCACGGCUAACUCUGUGCCAGCAGCCGCGGUAAUACAGAGGUGGCAAGCGUUGUUCGGAAUUAUUGGGCGUAAAGAGCACGUAGGUGGGUUUGUAAGUCAGAUGUGAAAGCCUUCUGUUCAACGGAAGAAUUGCAUCUGAAACUACGAACCUUGAGUAUAGGAGGGGAGAGUGGAACUUCUGGU
RNAcentral lists this ribosomal RNA (244 nucleotides) under uncultured anaerobic ammonium-oxidizing bacterium. Its description in RNAcentral is "partial 16S ribosomal RNA". It matches the Rfam family "Bacterial small subunit ribosomal RNA", at positions 439 to 674 of the family's 1533-position model. The record is from RNAcentral.